UACGGCUCAGUAACACGUGGAUAACCUGCCCUAAGGAAGGGGAUAACCUCGGGAAACUGAGGGUAAUACCCUAUAGGAUACCGAUGCUGGAAUGCCCGGUAUCCCAAAGCUCCGGCGCCUUAGGAUGGAUCUGCGGCCGAUUAGGUCGUUGUUGGGGUAACGGCCCAACAAGCCGAUAAUCGGUACGGGUUGUGGGAGCAAGAGCCCGGAGUUGGAUUCUGAGACACGAAUCCAGGCCCUACGGGGCGCAGCAGGCGCGAAAACUUUACAAUGCGGGCAACCGUGAUAAGGGAACCUCGAGUGCCUGUACAUGCAGGCUGUCUGGGUGUCUAAAACACACCCAAAGAAAGGGCCGGGCAAGACCGGUGCCAGCCGCCGCGGUAAUACCGGCGGCUCGAGUGGUGGCCACUUUUAUUGGGCUUAAAGCGUUCGUAGCUGGGUUGUUAAGUCUCUUGGGAAAUCUGGCAGCUUAACUGUCAGGCGUCUAAGAGAUACUGGCAAUCUAGGAACCGGGAGAGGUGAGGGGUACUUCGGGGGUAGGAGUGAAAUCCUGUAAUCCUCGAGGGACCACCUGUGGCGAAGGCGCCUCACCAGAACGGCUUCGACAGUGAGGGACGAAAGCUGGGGGAGCAAACCGGAUUAGAUACCCGGGUAGUCCCAGCCGUAAACGAUGCGCGUUAGGUGUUCGAUGACCACGAGUCAUCGAGGUGCCGAGAGGGAAACCGUGAAACGCGCCGCCKGGAAKUAC
This 748-nucleotide ribosomal RNA is filed under the name uncultured Methanoculleus sp. RNAcentral's name for it is "bacterial SSU rRNA". It matches the Rfam family "Archaeal small subunit ribosomal RNA", at positions 84 to 838 of the family's 1478-position model. The record is from RNAcentral. Lineage: Archaea; Methanobacteriati; Methanobacteriota; Methanomicrobia; Methanomicrobiales; Methanomicrobiaceae.